GUCUAUAGCUGCCUCUACUGUGUCCAGAGUAUUGACUGGCAGGUUGGCUGGUCUAUAGCUGCCUCUACUGUGUCCAGAGCGCUGACUGGCAGGUUGGCUGGUCUGUAGCUGUAAAGAACACUGAAUCAUCUCUUCCUGAAAAACCUGUGAAUCAUACUGAUGUCCAUAUUCACAAGAAGACCUUAAUUCCUCUAGCCUGGUGGUCCCAGAUCUGUUUGAGCUGUCUUGUCAACUCACUCUCAUGCCGUGAUAGUACAAACAGAUCUGGGACCAGACUAUAAGUUCCCCAUACAUGUUGGCCUUUUUUGUUGUUUAGUUAUAGUCAUGUUUUGGUACCUAUGAUUUACUGAUAAAGAGGAUUUACUGAUUAAGAGGUUAUCCUAUCCAUAAAGUAGUCAAAGAAGACAUUGUUUGGCCCUGGCUGGGGGAAUCAUUGGAUGGGGCCACAAUGUCUCCCGACCCCUCCUGUCUCAGCCUCCAGUAUUUAUGCUGCAGUAGUUUAUGUGUCGGGGGGCUAGGGUCAGUCUGUUACAUCUGGAGUAUUUCUCCUGUCUUAUCCGGUGUCCUGUGUGAAUUUAAGUAUGCUCUCUCUAAUUCUCGCAUUCUCUCUUUCUUUCUUUCUCUCUCUCGGAGGACCUGAGCCCUAGGACCAUGCCUCAGGACUACCUGGCAUGAUGACUCCUCGUUGUCCCCAGUCCACGUGGUUGUGCUGCUGCUCCAGUUUCAACUGUUCUGCCUGCGGCUAUGGAACCCUGACCUGUUCACUGUGACUACUAUUAUUUGACCAUGCUGGUCAUCUAUGAACAUUUGAACAUCUUGGCCAUGUUCUGUUAUAAUCUCCACCCGGCACAGCCAGAAGAGGACUGGCCACCCCUCAUAGCCUGGUUCCUCUCUAGGUUUCUUCCUAGGUUUUGGCCUUUCUAGGGAGUUUUUCCUAGCCACCGUGCUUUUACACCUGUAUUGCUUGCUGUUUGGGGUUUUAGGCUGGGUUUCUGUACAACACUUUGAGAUAUCAGC
This 1017-nucleotide long non-coding RNA is filed under the name Salmo salar (Atlantic salmon). RNAcentral's name for it is "lncRNA (ENSSSAG00000098875.1)". The record is from RNAcentral. Lineage: Eukaryota; Metazoa; Chordata; Actinopteri; Salmoniformes; Salmonidae.